UGUCGCUUUUUGUCAGUCGCCGUAGCGUAGAAUACACAGAACAACGUGCAGUGUUUGUUUGCAGAGCAAUCCCAUGAUGCUCUGCUGCGUGACGUCACAAUCUAUUUUUAGUAACCCAGGAAAGCGCUAUUAAUUGCAUGAAUUCUCGCUACAAAUGUCCUGGAAAGUCUUUUUUUCCGCUUCACGAAAGACGAUGCAAGAUGCAAAGACUGGAUACAGAGGAUCAGGAGAGAAGAUUUGCUGAAGAAGGAUAUAAAGAUGUUUUAUUGUUCAGGCUACUUCCUAUGCAGUGACCAUUUUGAAGAUUCCCAUUUUAUGAAUGUCAGUGAGAAGAAAAAGCUUAUAUGGUCUGCUGUGCCAUUCAUCUUCAAAGUUCCAAAUCCACUACCAUCUGUCACAUCAUCCAGGCUACCUAGGACAAAAGAUCUGAUACCAGAGCAGCAGCAUCCAGCUAGAAGAGAACCAACGUAACAAGUGUGUAUUCCACUUGUGUUUACUACUCCUGUGUAUAAUGUAGUUCCAUGAAAAAAUAAAAUUGUUUCCAGGACCCUCAACAAAGAAAAACUCAGUGGUUGAUGCAGGAGCUCUGGACAGAUCUUUUUGUGAACCAUCGUGUGAAAUCUAUCUUGACAAACAGGCUCAGUUAGGACUGUCUUGAGAAUCUCUUCUCUACACUGUGGGGCAAGUGGGGACACAGGGAUAGUCCCAGUCCCCAAGAACUGUAUGUUGCUCUUCGGGCUUGCAUGAUGAAUGCAAUCCUUGUGCAGAGUCCACAUAACAGUGCACUGAAGACAUGGAAAAAUUCCUAUUGACAGUUUGACAGCAAGGAACAAUUAACCUUCAAGACCGGCACUUGCAACAGUCUUGCAAGACCCAAGUGGAUGAAGACAUGCAUUCAUUGGGUCUGAUAUUAUAAUUCACUUCUUCUAUACCAAACUUUUAUAUGCAGCUGGCAGAAUCGAAUAUCCUCUUUUACUUUGCAGAUUUUGUGGCCUUCUGCCUGAAGGUUUUGCAGAAAUUGUCAAGACAAAUUCACAAGCAAACUUGGUGCACAGCACAAGCAGUUCCUGACCUUGAAACUGUAGGCUUCACUGGAAAGCACUCUCACAAUGCCAAGCACACAGUUGUUUCAUGUGAUUAAAGAGUUGGAAAAAACAUUCACAGACAAUAGGGAACACUUUUUGCACAUGGAUAAAGUGGUAGGAAGAUUAAUGAUGCAGCUUGAAGGCAAGAUGAAACGGUCAUUUAUCUGCUCAUAUGACAGACCUUUCUCUUUGGACAAAAUAGUGAGACAUCUCUUUCGCAACUUACAUCUGAACUUGACGUUGAAAGAAAAUACAAGAUCUUUUGCAAAUCAGUUUGCACAUAAAACUAGAAAAUUGAUGAAAUUGAACCAUCUAUGAAUUAUCUUGACUUAAAGUUAUUGUUGUAAAUGUUUGGCAAACUUUUGUGCCUGUGUACAUUUCUGAGCAACUGUCUCGCUGUCAAUAUAAACUGUGUGCUGUUUGGAUAUCAGUGGAUUUUCUUAUUUUCCAUGUCUUCCUUCUUUUCUUUUCUAUCUGUAUCUUUGUGUUAAUGUUGAAAUAUAAUACUAUUUUGUUUAUGUUUGUUAAUAAAUUUUUGCAUAUGUGUGUAAAUAUAA
Molecule: long non-coding RNA, 1642 nt
Filed under: Pomacea canaliculata
Lineage: Eukaryota; Metazoa; Mollusca; Gastropoda; Architaenioglossa; Ampullariidae
Description: uncharacterized LOC112576407
Source: RNAcentral